This 329-nucleotide unclassified non-coding RNA is filed under the name soil metagenome. RNAcentral's name for it is "partial contains 5.8S ribosomal RNA, internal transcribed spacer 2, and large subunit ribosomal RNA". The stretch from base 1 to 120 matches the Rfam family "5.8S ribosomal RNA", at positions 35 to 154 of the family's 154-position model. The record is from RNAcentral.
GAUGAAGAACGCAGCGAAAUGCGAUAAGUAGUGUGAAUUGCAGAAUUCAGUGAAUCAUCGAAUCUUUGAACGCACAUUGCGCCCCUUGGUAUCCCGAGGGGCAUGCCUGUUCGAGCGUCAUUUCACCACUCAAGCCUGGCUUGGUGUUGGGCGACGUCCUCUUUGGGGACGCGCCUCAAAACGCUCGGCGGCGUGGCACCGGCUUUAAGCGUAGCAGAAUCUUUCGCUUUGGAAGUCGGGGCCCCGUCUGCCGGAAGACCUGCUCGCAAGGUUGACCUCGGAUCAGGCAGGGAUACCCGCUGAACUUAAGCAUAUCAAUAAGCGGAGGA